RNAcentral lists this non-coding RNA (23 nucleotides) under Drosophila melanogaster (fruit fly). The record is from RNAcentral. Lineage: Eukaryota; Metazoa; Arthropoda; Insecta; Diptera; Drosophilidae. RNAcentral also lists the same sequence under 1 other name.
UUUAGAAUUCCUACGCUUUACCG